GCUCUGUAAGCGUAUACCAAAGUUGUUGCAGUUAAAACGCUCGUAGUCGGAUUGGCGUCUGACUUGGGUCGUCCUCGCGGACGCUCUCAGGUUGGGCGCCUUUGUGGAUGGGAGUCUGGUGGUGCUUAAUUGGAUCGCCAGGCUGCCGCCACCGUUUACUGUGAAAAAAUUAGAGUGUUCAAAGCAGGCGAUUGCCUGAA
This 200-nucleotide ribosomal RNA is filed under the name uncultured eukaryote. Its description in RNAcentral is "partial 18S ribosomal RNA". It matches the Rfam family "Eukaryotic small subunit ribosomal RNA", at positions 588 to 799 of the family's 1831-position model. The record is from RNAcentral.